UUUAGCAGCCAUAUCACCCUGCAACUCUCAACUGGCAUACCACUGAAGCUCAGCAGGUGUGAGCCUGGUCAGUACCUGGAUGGGAGACCUCCUGGGAAAAACUAAGGUUGCUGCUGGAA
Molecule: ribosomal RNA, 119 nt
Organism: Lepisosteus oculatus (spotted gar)
Lineage: Eukaryota; Metazoa; Chordata; Actinopteri; Semionotiformes; Lepisosteidae
Source: Ensembl